CACUGAGGAACGCAGACUAAAUGGCAACGUCUGCAUGACCCCCAUCCUGGGGG
This 53-nucleotide small RNA is filed under the name Cytobacillus firmus. RNAcentral's name for it is "Bacillus firmus Bacillaceae-1 RNA". It matches the Rfam family "Bacillaceae-1 RNA". Lineage: Bacteria; Bacillati; Bacillota; Bacilli; Caryophanales; Bacillaceae. RNAcentral also lists the same sequence under 1 other name. The record is from RNAcentral.